UCCCGCACAAACGGCGGGGUAUGUGGUAGAAAGAUAAACAACGUCAAGACACCUUCUAGGUCUUUCUUCCUGUGAAAAGCCUAGAGAUAAGGGUUCUCCUUUUUGAGCAGAGAGACAGGUGGUGCAUGGUUGUCGUCAGCUCGCGUCGUGAGAUGUUGGGUUAAGUCCCGCAAUGGGCGCAACCCUUGAUUUUAGUUGCCAUCAUUAAGUUGGGCACUCUAAGGUGACUGCCGGUGACAAACCGGAGGAAGGUGGGGAUGACGUCAAAUCAUCAUGCCCCUUAUGACCUGGGCUACACACGUGCUACAAUGGACGGUACAAAGAGCUGCAAGACCGCGAGGUGGAGCUAAUCUCAUAAAACCGUUCUCAGUUCGGAUUGUAGGCUGCAACUCGCCUACAUGAAGCUGGAAUCGCUAGUAAUCGCGGAUCAGCAUGCCGCGGUGAAUACGUUCCCGGGCCUUGUACACACCGCCCGUCACACCACGAGAGUUUGUAACACCCGAAGUCGGUGGGGUAACCUUUUUGGAGCCAGCCGCCUAAGGUGGGACAGAUGAUUGGGGUGAAGUCGUAACAAGGUAGCC
Molecule: ribosomal RNA, 581 nt
Filed under: Bacillus sp. GL
Lineage: Bacteria; Bacillati; Bacillota; Bacilli; Caryophanales; Bacillaceae
Description: bacterial SSU rRNA
Rfam family: Bacterial small subunit ribosomal RNA
Source: RNAcentral